Molecule: transfer RNA, 96 nt
Filed under: Gammaproteobacteria bacterium
Lineage: Bacteria; Pseudomonadati; Pseudomonadota; Gammaproteobacteria
Description: tRNA-OTHER
Source: RNAcentral
GGCGGGGUAAGUCUCACGUUGGUAGAGCGGCGCUCAUUCCUUCAACGCCAUGAUCGGGGGGAGCGCGUGUUGCCGGUUCGAUUCCGGCCCCCGUCA